GUGAGGAAUUUUGGACAAUGGGGGAAACCCUGAUCCAGCGACGCCGCGUGAAGGAUGAAGGUCUUCGGAUUGUAAACUUCUUUUAUUUGGGACUAAGAAAUCUGGUGAAAAUCAGAGAGUGAAUGUACCAAGUGAAUAAGCCACGGCUAACUUCGUGCCAGCAGCCGCGGUAAUACGAAGGUGGCAAGCGUUACUCGGAAUUACUAGGCGUAAAGGGCAGGUAGGUGGUUCGAUAAGUCUGUUGUGAAAGCUCCCGGCUUAACUGGGAGAGGCCAACGGAAACUAUCGAACUUGAGUAUGGGAGAGGGUACUGGAAUUCCCGGUGUAGCGGUGAAAUGCGCAGAGAUCGGGAGGAACAUCAAUGGCGAAAGCAGGUACCUGGACCAUUACUGACACUCAACUGCGAAAGCUAGGGGAGCAAACAGGAUUAGAAACCCCUGUAGUCC
RNAcentral lists this ribosomal RNA (446 nucleotides) under uncultured bacterium. RNAcentral describes it as "bacterial SSU rRNA". It matches the Rfam family "Bacterial small subunit ribosomal RNA", at positions 354 to 796 of the family's 1533-position model. The record is from RNAcentral.